UGGGGAAUAUUGCACAAUGGGCGCAAGCCUGAUGCAGCCAUGCCGCGUGUAUGAAGAAGGCCUUCGGGUUGUAAAGCACUUUCAGCGGGGAGGAAGGCGAUAAGGUUAAUAACCUCAUCGAUUGACGUUACCCGCAGAAGAAGCACCGGCUAACUCCGUGCCAGCAGCCGCGGUAAUACGGAGGGUGCAAGCGUUAAUCGGAAUUACUGGGCGUAAAGCGCACGCAGGCGGUUUGUUAAGUCAGAUGUGAAAUCCCCGGGCUCAACCUGGGAACUGCAUCUGAUACUGGCAAGCUUGAGUCUCGUAGAGGGGGGUAGAAUUCCAGGUGUAGCGGUGAAAUGCGUAGAGAUCUGGAGGAAUACCGGUGGCGAAGGCGGCCCCCUGGACGAAGACUGACGCUCAGGUGCGAAAGCGUGGGGAGCAAACAGG
This 429-nucleotide ribosomal RNA is filed under the name Chloroflexota bacterium. RNAcentral's name for it is "Chloroflexi bacterium partial 16S ribosomal RNA". It matches the Rfam family "Bacterial small subunit ribosomal RNA", at positions 355 to 776 of the family's 1533-position model. The record is from RNAcentral. Lineage: Bacteria; Bacillati; Chloroflexota.